RNAcentral lists this ribosomal RNA (207 nucleotides) under uncultured bacterium. Its description in RNAcentral is "partial 16S ribosomal RNA". It matches the Rfam family "Bacterial small subunit ribosomal RNA", at positions 568 to 774 of the family's 1533-position model. The record is from RNAcentral.
UACGUAGGCGGUUUCAUAAGUCAGAUGUAAAAGCGUGGGGCUCAACCCCAUAAAGCAUUUGAAACUGUGGAACUUGAGUAGUGGAGAGGAAAGUGGAAUUCCUAGUGUAGCGGUGAAAUGCGUAGAUAUUAGGAGGAAUACCAGUGGCGAAGGCGACUUUCUGGACACAAACUGACGCUGAGGUACGAAAGCAUGGGGAAGCAAACA